Molecule: ribosomal RNA, 603 nt
Filed under: Salmonella enterica
Lineage: Bacteria; Pseudomonadati; Pseudomonadota; Gammaproteobacteria; Enterobacterales; Enterobacteriaceae
Description: partial 23S ribosomal RNA
Rfam family: Bacterial large subunit ribosomal RNA
Source: RNAcentral
AGACCCGAAACCCGGUGAUCUAGCCAUGGGCAGGUUGAAGGUUGGGUAACACUAACUGGAGGACCGAACCGACUAAUGUUGAAAAAUUAGCGGAUGACCUGUGGCUGGGGGUGAAAGGCCAAUCAAACCGGGAGAUAGCUGGUUCUCCCCGAAAGCUAUUUAGGUAGCGCCUCGUGAAUUCAUCUCCGGGGGUAGAGCACUGUUUCGGCUAGGGGGCCAUCCCGGCUUACCAACCCGAUGCAAACUGCGAAUACCGGAGAAUGUUAUCACGGGAGACACACGGCGGGUGCUAACGUCCGUCGUGAAGAGGGAAACAACCCAGACCGCCAGCUAAGGUCCCAAAGUCAUGGUUAAGUGGGAAACGAUGUGGGAAGGCCCAGACAGCCAGGAUGUUGGCUUAGAAGCAGCCAUCAUUUAAAGAAAGCGUAAUAGCUCACUGGUCGAGUCGGCCUGCGCGGAAGAUGUAACGGGGCUAAACCAUGCACCGAAGCUGCGGCAGCGACGCUGAUGCGUUGUUGGGUAGGGGAGCGUUCUGUAAGCCUGCGAAGGUGGCCUGUGAGGGUUGCUGGAGGUAUCAGAAGUGCGAAUGCUGACAUAAGUAAC